RNAcentral lists this ribosomal RNA (253 nucleotides) under uncultured bacterium. RNAcentral describes it as "partial 16S ribosomal RNA". It matches the Rfam family "Bacterial small subunit ribosomal RNA", at positions 524 to 776 of the family's 1533-position model. The record is from RNAcentral.
UACGUAGGUGGCAAGCGUUGUCCGGAUUUACUGGGUGUAAAGGGCGUGUAGGCGGGAUUGCAAGUCAGAUGUGAAAUUCCGGGGCUCAACCCCGGAACUGCAUUUGAAACUGUAGUUCUUGAGUACUGGAGAGGCAGGCGGAAUUCCUAGUGUAGCGGUGAAAUGCGUAGAUAUUAGGAGGAACACCAGUGGCGAAGGCGGCCUGCUGGACAGCAACUGACGCUGAGGCGCGAAAGCGUGGGGAGCAAACAGG